UUUGUGGAGAGUUUGAUCCUGGCUCAGGAUGAACGCUGGCGGCGUGCUUAACACAUGCAAGUCGAACGGAAAGGCCACAGCUUGCUGUGGUACUCGAGUGGCGAACGGGUGAGUAACACGUGGGUGAUCUGCCCUGUAC
This 139-nucleotide ribosomal RNA is filed under the name Rhizobium leguminosarum. Its description in RNAcentral is "partial 16S ribosomal RNA". It matches the Rfam family "Bacterial small subunit ribosomal RNA", at positions 1 to 136 of the family's 1533-position model. Lineage: Bacteria; Pseudomonadati; Pseudomonadota; Alphaproteobacteria; Hyphomicrobiales; Rhizobiaceae. The record is from RNAcentral.